Cinara cedri is the source of this 2266-nucleotide non-coding RNA. Lineage: Eukaryota; Metazoa; Arthropoda; Insecta; Hemiptera; Aphididae. The record is from the annotation of a GenBank genome assembly.
AAAAAAAAAAAAAACGAACCGACACUGCUGUGACGCCGGUGUGUACGACGAAAAACCGAGAACGAAGACGACGCGGAGUUAUUCGAUUUGUAUACGCGAUCGCCGUACGAAUCGUCACUAACGAAAUACGAUCCUGAAUGAAGUGUUCGGUUAAACGUUUUGAAAUGCCGUGAUAUUUUUUACCAUUUCCGUUCCGUUAAGAUUUAAAAAACCAUAUAAAAAUAAAACAAACCGCUUUAUUGCGCUCGAAUUUGUUUUUUCUUACCACUAAUUUAUGACGGUUUAAAACAAAUUAAACUCAAAGGUGAAGAAUUUCUACGAAUAGCUUAACAAACAAUAAACAAUGGUGUAAACCGCGAUUUUACCACGUUUAAAAAAAUCCACUAGAAGUAAUCUGUAAACAUCCCAGGUCUCUAUGAUUACGUUUAACCGAACAACAAACAAAAAACAAAAUCGAAAAUAAUCAAAUAAUUAUUGCCAUACAAUUUCCCCGUUUUUUUUACGUUUUAACCAAUUUGUUUCCAUUUUUUUUUUCAUCACGCCAGUAUUACAUAAAUCCAUGUGAACAAGAUCGAGUAUCGACGUUAACGACAAUCGUUCGACUGUGCCCCGGGAAUUGCACGUACACAUAAUACGCGUUUGGAAGGCCGUGAGUUUUCGGUAAAGGUUUGGUGUAAAGACGUAUGGAGUAUAUUGUACGACGACGAAAUUGGAGGGAGAGAAAGCCGAAUAACUCUUGUAUUAUACCGAAACGAUAUUGAAUGGCAAGCGACGACCGUUUUAUACGUGAGCGAUGUUUUAUACCGACGGUUGAUACUGAUGGGUUCACUGAAUCCAAAAAAAUACGCUUGAAGCGAUUUGGAAUUAUACAGUAAAAGCAUUUUAUUAGCAGUGACGGAUUUAACCACCAACACCUUCACCCGACACGCCGAAAUAAACUACGUACCGCUUUUUUACGGAAAAAAGACAUUUUAAUUUUCCGCGUUUUUUUACGUUAUUUAUUUGGUAGGUACUCUGUGGAUAUCACUGUUAAACCAAUCAAAAAUGCUUGAAAAUUUAACAAAAAGUUUAUUAUAAGUCGCACUUUGCGAUCAAAAAUACAAAUUGAUUGUAAUGUAGAAUUUUUUUCUUAAGAAUUUCAAAACGCGUAUAAUUGAACUCCACUCAGAAUCUUUUUACGUUAGCAGUGAUUAAUCAAUGCGUUCAGAUAUACAUUAAAUUUCUGUUUAUCCUGCCUUCCUAGCUUCUCACGUACAACAGUUGCUCACCCAUCGUGGGAAGUACAUCCGUUUAUUAUAAAAAAACAUUAAUAGAACGUUUUUAAAAAUGUUUUUUACAUCUACCUUGCUUGUGUUAACUACACGUUGUUGAUAAUAUACCCGUGUAUAUACGGUCAUUGAAUAUAGACGCGUUUUGAUAAAUAUUCCCCAAUGAUUUUCUGUACGUUUCGCGGGGUCGAAAUUGAUCGAUCGGAUUAACAGUUUGAAAAUGGGUUGAUAUUUAUCAGGGUUUUAAUGAAUACUACUUUAAAGUGUGUACCACGUAUUUAAUGUACACAGCUACUUGAUUGUGUAUACGUUUUAAACUGUAUAAAAAUAUUUAUGUAUCAGUUAAUUAAUUAAGGUAAUGUUUUAGCUUUGAUGCGGAACUGAGAAGGUACGUUGGUUUUGAAAUGAAGCGGUUUUUAUUUAUUUUUAUCCGGUCGAACCGUACAGUUUAUUUAAACAGUAAACACUUUAAUAUUAAUACCGAAUUGAAAAUGCCGAUACAAUAUUGCACAGAUACACGUUACAUAAAACAUAAAUCAAACAAUUGAUGAACACUAAUUAAAAUAAAUAUAGUACUUGAUAAAUAUUGAACAAAUAUAGAUUGCAAUGAAAAAUAAAAAGUAAAUAUGCGCAUAAUAUGUUUUAAUGGUUAUCUAUAAUUGUACUUGCUUUGUACACGCAUAUUAUCGACCACGGUAUCAAAUAAAACAUCCGAAUAUUGAGUGUUUUUACGUAUUGAAUAACACGAAAACAAACAGGAUCAUCAUAUGUUUCGUUACCAUAAUGGUUUCACGGGAAAUUAAUACAGUGGUGUCCCGUUGUUGUCUGCGUCGCAGUGACGUCUCUUAUUUUAAACGAACGCCCCGUCGUUUAAGUAUAAAAAAAAAAAAAAUUAACCCUCGACACCGAUUCCUGCUCCCGGGCCCAUUUUAGUCGUCUCUACGAGCACGGACUGCCGAAGGUGUACUCUGGCUGGUCGACCGCGGAGCAAAGAUCGA